This is an RNA transcript of Phalaenopsis equestris, 3038 nucleotides long. It is a transcript of the gene named coatomer subunit beta'-1-like, with no coding region annotated. Lineage: Eukaryota; Viridiplantae; Streptophyta; Magnoliopsida; Asparagales; Orchidaceae. The record is from RefSeq and is a predicted model, not a curated record. The transcript is spliced from 24 exons.
AAUCAGUGGAUCUGCACCCAACGGAACCAUGGAUCCUUGCAAGCCUUUACUCUGGCAGUGUAUGCAUCUGGGACUAUCAAUCACAGACAAUGGCAAAAUCAUUUGAGGUUACAGAGUUGCCUGUUCGAUCAGCAAAAUUUAUAGCUCGCAAGCAGUGGGUUGUAGCUGGAGCAGAUGACAUGUUCAUUCGUGUUUAUAAUUAUAAUACAAUGGACAAAGUCAAAGUUUUUGAGGCGCACACGGAUUACAUCAGAUGUGUGGCCGUUCAUCCAACACUUCCAUAUGUACUGUCAUCAUCCGACGACAUGUUAAUAAAACUUUGGGAUUGGGAGAAGGGAUGGAUGUGCACUCAGAUUUUUGAGGGACACUCCCACUAUAUUAUGCAAGUCACGAUUAAUCCAAAAGACACAAAUACUUUCGCUAGUGCCUCACUUGAUCGUACAAUAAAGAUAUGGAAUCUCGGAUCUCCUGAUCCGAAUUUUACAUUGGAUGCUCAUAUGAAGGGAGUAAAUUGUGUUGACUACUUUACUGGGGGUGAUAGGCCUUAUCUUAUUACUGGUUCUGAUGAUCAAACAGCUAAGGUCUGGGACUACCAAACCAAGAGCUGUGUCCAGACACUAGAAGGGCAUACACACAAUGUUUCCUCAGUCUGUUUUCACCCAGAGCUUCCCAUAAUAAUAACUGGGUCGGAGGAUGGAACUAUUCGGAUAUGGCAUGCAACAACUUACAGGCUCGAGAACACACUAAACUAUGGCUUGGAGCGGGUUUGGGCAAUUGGAUACAUGAAAGGAUCGAGGAGAGUGGUCAUUGGGUAUGAUGAAGGAAGUAUCAUGAUAAAACUUGGCCGGGAGGUACCAGUUGCCAGUAUGGACAGCAGUGGGAAGGUUAUAUGGGCCAAGCAUAAUGAAAUUCAAACUGUGAAUAUUAAGAGUGUUGGAUCAGAUAUCGAGGUUAUUGACGGAGAAAGACUUCCUUUGGCUGUCAAGGAGUUGGGAAGCUGUGACCUUUACCCCCAAAGUUUGAAGCAUAAUCCAAAUGGAAGAUUUGUUGUUGUUUGCGGAGAUGGUGAAUAUAUUAUUUAUACUGCUUUGGCUUGGAGAAAUAGAUCCUUUGGUUCUGCUUUGGAAUUUUGUUGGUCUUCUGAGGGCGAAUAUGCAGUGCGAGAGAGCACAUCAAAAAUAAAGAUUUUUGGUAAAAAUUUCCAGGAGAAGAAGAGCAUACGACCAACCUUUUCAGCUGAGCGUAUUUUUGGGGGAACUCUACUGGCAAUGUGUUCUAACGAUUUUAUUUGUUUUUAUGAUUGGUCAGAGUGCAGACUGAUACGUCGUAUUGAUGUUAAUGUUAAGAAUCUUUAUUGGGCAGAUAGUGGUGAUCUGAUUGCCAUUGCAAGUGACACAUCAUUCUAUAUUCUGAAGUACAAUAGAGAAGUAGUUUCUUCUUAUCUGGAUAGUGGAGCAUCUGCAGACGACCAAGGCGUUGAGGAUGCUUUUGAACUUCAGCAUCAAAUAAAUGAGAGGGUUCGAACUGGUAUCUGGGUUGGAGAUUGUUUCAUCUAUAAUAACUAUUCCUGGAGACUGAAUUAUUGUGUUGGUGGAGAGGUUACAACAAUGUUUCACUUGGACCGGCCUAUGUAUUUACUUGGAUAUCUAGCCAAUCAGAGUAAGGUGUAUCUCAUUGAUAAGGAAUUCAAUAUCAUUGGGUACUCAUUACUCCUUAGUUUGAUUGAGUAUAAAACCCUGGUUAUGCGUGGAGAUUUCAAUCGCGCAGCUGAAGUGCUACCAUCGAUUCCCAAUGAACAUUUGAACAGUGUUGCUCAUUUCUUGGAGUCUCGGGGAAUGAAGGAAGAUGCUUUGGAAGUAGCCACAGAUGCCAAUUACAAAUUUGAUCUGGCAAUACAGCUUGGACGACUUGAUAUUGCAAAGGCCAUUGCUAUUGAAGCUCAGAGUGAAUCAAAAUGGAAAGAGUUGGGCAAGCUAGCGAUGUCAUCUGGAAAGUUAGAAUUGGCUGAGGAAUGCUUGUCUAAUGCAAUGGAUCUGAGUGGCUUAUUGCUUCUUUACUCAUCACUUGGAGACGCAGAAGGAAUAACAAAACUUGCUUCACUUGCUAAAAAACGUGGAAAGAACAAUGUUGCCUUCCUUUGUCUAUUUAUGCUAGGAAAACUGGAAGAGUGUAUUUGGCUAUUAAUUGAGAGUAAUCGGAUUCCAGAGGCUGCAUUGAUGGCACGAUCAUAUCUACCAAGCAAAGUAUCUGAGAUUGUAGAAAUUUGGAAAAAUGAUCUUAAUAAGGUCAAUCCCAAAGCAGCUGAGUCAUUGGCUGAUCCUGCUGAUUACCCCAAUCUUUUUGAGGACUGGCAGGUUGCUCUUGCAGUUGAGUCAAGUCUUACUCUGACAAGGGGUACCUAUCCUCCUGCUGAGGAAUACUUGAGUCAUGUUGACAAUUUGAAUGUCAAUCUUGUGGAAUCUUUCAAAAAUAUGAAAAUGGAUGAUGAUUUACCCCUUGAAAAUGGAGAGUCUGGCAAUGAGGUAGCACAAAUGAGUGAAGAAGAAGAUGGCCCUGAGGAAGCUGUCCAAGUUGAAGCUGAGGAUUCAACGGAGGGCACUGUCUUUGUAAAUGGGGAUGACGGUGAAGAAGAGUAUGGUAUGAAUGAUGAAGGAACUCGGUCAGCCUAAAGGAAUUAGUUCGCUGAAGUGUAAAAGUGCAAAUUUUGUUUCUGUUCUAACUCCGCGACAUCAAUGAUCCAUCAAUUGGAGGCCAAUCUUAAAGAUGCCGAAGGAAUGCGGAGCCACAUUGUCAUACGCAUAUGGAUCAAAAAUCUUCAUAUUGUGGCCGCUGAAGGAUUCACAGAGACGUUCGAUUUUCAUUCUGUUGAGCCAAUUUCAUUUGUCAUAUUUUAUUUAUAAAACUUUAUAGUUCCAAGAGUAUAUGAGUGAUAAUGUUGCAGGUUCAUGAUGAUUUUUUAACCUUCUGUAGAAAUAAUUUUGAACAGCUUUUCAUAUUGUUUUUCAAUUCAGUGAAGAAGUUGUGCUAAUGCUCCUAAA